GGGGCGACGGGUGUCCAGUGAUUCAGCCACGUGUGAUAGAUGACCAAGGGACUACUUCCUUGGGGUCUGCACAUCAGUGGAAGAUACCCAAACUGGUUUUGGCUGCCUUGAUCAAACUCUGGCCCCCUGAACUGGAAUGAAAUGCAGAUAACUCUUUAGAAAACUUUCGUAGGAAAAAAGCAAAGCGCCUCGUGUGAUCUGGAACAAAGACAUUUUCUAAUCAGAUUUAUCAAGCUGUGAAGAGGGAGUUUUAGCGAACGGAAGCAGCAGCAUUCUGUCACCAGGAAAUACUGCUUUAUCCAGAAUUGGGAAGUAGACAACAUCAAGAAACUUCUUGCUCCUCAAGUGCCAUCUAGUAUGAGUAAUUCUCAAAUACACCAGAGAUUACAAAAUAGCUAGGAUUUGCAAUCACACCGUUUAAAAGUUUUCUCCUUCAUGUUAUUGGAAGUUGUGUCAGCGGAAAUAAAGAAAUGCAAUCAUAAACUCUCUUCAGGAACCUCUAGACCUGCAAACAUAAUCCUGAGAGGAGAUAGUGUUGUCACUUAUUCCAGAAUAAUUGGAAGGUCCUUGAGAAGGUAGAAGUUGAUCUUCAGAGAGCUUAGAAAUUUUUGGGCUUGCACAUAAUUGAAAUUCAAUAGAACAAAAGAAGAAAGUACUGUUUAAGAUGAGAGACCUUUCAAAGAGUGAAAGAUGCCAGUUGAAAUGGAGUGUCUGUGACAAAAAUCUUCAGUCAUGUGGCUAAAACUUCCAAAACUAUGUUGAAUAAUAGUGGUGAGAAUGGACAACCUUGUCUUGUUCCUGAUCUUAGUGGAAAUGGUUUCAUUUAUCACCAUUGAGGACGAUGUUGGCUGUGGGUUUGUCAUAU
Balaenoptera acutorostrata (minke whale) is the source of this 865-nucleotide long non-coding RNA. RefSeq lists it as uncharacterized. The record is from RefSeq and is a predicted model, not a curated record. Lineage: Eukaryota; Metazoa; Chordata; Mammalia; Artiodactyla; Balaenopteridae. The transcript is spliced from 5 exons.